UACAGAGGGUGCAAGCGUUAAUCGGAAUUACUGGGCGUAAAGCGCGCGUAGGCGGAUAAAUAAGUUGGGUGUGAAAUCCCUGGGCUUAACCUAGGAAUUGCAUUCAAAACUGUUUGUCUAGAGUACAAGAGAGGAGGGCAGAAUUUCCGGUGUAGCGGUGAAAUGCGUAGAUAUCGGAAGGAAUACCAGUGGCGAAGGCGGCCCUCUGGAUUGUUACUGACGCUGAGGUGCGAAAGCGUGGGGAGCAAACGGG
This 253-nucleotide ribosomal RNA is filed under the name uncultured bacterium. RNAcentral's name for it is "partial 16S ribosomal RNA". It matches the Rfam family "Bacterial small subunit ribosomal RNA", at positions 524 to 776 of the family's 1533-position model. The record is from RNAcentral.